RNAcentral lists this ribosomal RNA (425 nucleotides) under uncultured bacterium. RNAcentral's name for it is "partial 16S ribosomal RNA". It matches the Rfam family "Bacterial small subunit ribosomal RNA", at positions 354 to 796 of the family's 1533-position model. The record is from RNAcentral.
GUGGGGAAUCAUGCGCAAUGGGCGAAAGCCUGACGCAGCCAUGCCGCGUGAAUGAUGAAGGUCUUAGGAUUGUAAAAUUCUUUCACCGGGGACGAUAAUGACGGUACCCGGAGAAGAAGCCCCGGCUAACUUCGUGCCAGCAGCCGCGGUAAUACGAAGGGGGCUAGCGUUGCUCGGAAUUACUGGGCGUAAAGGGCGCGUAGGCGGACAGUUUAGUCAGAGGUGAAAGCCCAGGGCUCAACCUUGGAAUUGCCUUUGAUACUGGCUGUCUUGAGUACGGGAGAGGUGAGUGGAACUCCGAGUGUAGAGGGGAAAUUCGUAGAUAGUCGGAAGAACACCAGUGGCGAAGGCGACUCACUGGCCCGUUACUGACGCUGAGGCGCGAAAGCGUGGGGAGCAAACAGGAUUAGAAACCCUUGUAGUCC